GGGAGACACCCAGGGGCCUGGCCCGCCAGCCCAAAAGAUGGUCAUCGGGAAGAGAAAAAGAAAAAAAUGCUGCAGUUGUUCUCUCAAGCUAGGGCAGAAGAGGGGUGUCAAGCUCCUCAAUAAACUUGUCUCCACUUCUUCGAGUGCAGUGUGGUCUUCACCAGGACCCCCAGAACACCACAAACCUGGAGAGCCCAGAGGCUGCCAGACCCUGCUGCAUGGGAAGGACAUCUCCAGGGACAUGGGAGAGAGGACAGCCUCUCUGAGGAGGAAGGCCCCUAAAAGGCAAAGCUAAGGCCACAGCAGCAACAAGAACCUCAGCGCAGAGCCCUGCCCACAGCAGGUGCCCAGUGAAUACCUGAUGACAAAAGGAAUCAGAGGAAAAUACAAAUCAGACAGAAAAGCUGUGGAAAAUGCAGAUACUCCCUCAGGAACAGCAGAAAUCCAAAGCAGACACCACCUCCACCCCUCACAUCAGCCAGACCUGGAGAGAACGAUCAUCUUGAAUGACAAUGAUGAACACAGCGCUCCCUAUUUUGCUAAGCGCUGUGCUAAACUAUAUGCCUUAACUCAUCUUAAUGUCUACAACAGCUUAUAUGAGGGCUUUAAACCAAGGCUUGGUAAACUACUGCCCAUGGGCCAAACCUGGCCCAUCAUCUAGUUCUGUAUAGCCCACAAGCCAAGAAUGGUUUUUACAUUUUUAAGUGGUUGAAAAAAAAUCAAAAGAAUAUUUUGAGACUGUGAAAACUGUAUGAAAUUCAAAUUCCAAUAUCCACAAAUAAAGUUUUAUUGGAACGGG
RNAcentral lists this small RNA (799 nucleotides) under Pan troglodytes (chimpanzee). RNAcentral describes it as "processed transcript". The record is from RNAcentral. Lineage: Eukaryota; Metazoa; Chordata; Mammalia; Primates; Hominidae.